UCAGGAUGAACGCUGGCGGCGUGCUUAACACAUGCAAGUCGAACGGUGAAGCCAAGCUUGCUUGGUGGAUCAGUGGCGAACGGGUGAGUAACACGUGAGCAACCUGCCCUGGACUCUGGGAUAAGCGCUGGAAACGGUGUCUAAUACUGGAUAUGAGCUCUCACUGCAUGGUGGGGGUUGGAAAGAUUUUUCGGUCUGGGAUGGGCUCGCGGCCUAUCAGCUUGUUGGUGAGGUAAUGGCUCACCAAGGCGUCGACGGGUAGCCGGCCUGAGAGGGUGACCGGCCACACUGGGACUGAGACACGGCCCAGACUCCUACGGGAGGCAGCAGUGGGGAAUAUUGCACAAUGGGCGGAAGCCUGAUGCAGCAACGCCGCGUGAGGGAUGACGGCCUUCGGGUUGUAAACCUCUUUUAGCAAGGAAGAAGCGAAAGUGACG
RNAcentral lists this ribosomal RNA (437 nucleotides) under soil bacterium 2V-10. Its description in RNAcentral is "bacterial SSU rRNA". It matches the Rfam family "Bacterial small subunit ribosomal RNA", at positions 24 to 474 of the family's 1533-position model. The record is from RNAcentral.